RNAcentral lists this ribosomal RNA (449 nucleotides) under uncultured bacterium. Its description in RNAcentral is "partial 16S ribosomal RNA". It matches the Rfam family "Bacterial small subunit ribosomal RNA", at positions 29 to 523 of the family's 1533-position model. The record is from RNAcentral.
AGCGAACGCUGGCGGCAGGCCUAACACAUGCAAGCCGAACGAAGUCUUCGGACUUAGUGGCGGACGGGUGAGUAACACGUGGGGACGUGCCUUUAGGUUCGGAAUAACUCAGGGAAACUUGUGCUAAUACCGAAUGUGCCCUUCGGGGGAAAGAUUUAUCGCCUUUAGAGCGGCCCGCGUCUGAUUAGCUAGUUGGUGGGGUAAUGGCCCACCAAGGCUACGAUCAGUAGCUGGUCUGAGAGGAUGACCAGCCACAUUGGGACUGAGACACGGCCCAAGCUCCUACGGGAGGCAGCAGUGGGGAAUUUUGCGCAAUGGGCGAAAGCCUGACGCAGCCAUGCCGCGUGGAUGAUGAAGGUCUUAGGAUUGUAAAAUCCUUUCACCGGUGAAGAUAAUGACUGUAGCCGGAGAAGAAGCCCCGGCUAACUUCGUGCCAGCCGCCGCCGUAA